This 94-nucleotide non-coding RNA is filed under the name Agaricus bisporus var. burnettii JB137-S8. RNAcentral's name for it is "Eukaryotic small subunit ribosomal RNA". It matches the Rfam family "Eukaryotic small subunit ribosomal RNA", at positions 1 to 93 of the family's 1831-position model. The record is from Rfam by way of RNAcentral. Lineage: Eukaryota; Fungi; Basidiomycota; Agaricomycetes; Agaricales; Agaricaceae.
UACCUGGUUGAUCCUGCCAGUAGUCAUAUGCUUGUCUCAAAGAUUAAGCCAUGCAUGUCUAAGUAUAAACAAAUUUGUACUGUGAAACUGCGAA